UGGGGAAUAUUGCACAAUGGGCGCAAGCCUGAUGCAGCAACGCCGCGUGAGGGACGACGGCCUUCGGGUUGUAAACCUCUUUUAGUAGGGAAGAAGCGAAAGUGACGGUACCUGCAGAAAAAGCACCGGCUAACUACGUGCCAGCAGCCGCGGUAAUACGUAGGGUGCAAGCGUUGUCCGGAAUUAUUGGGCGUAAAGAGCUCGUAGGCGGUUUGUCGCGUCUGCUGUGAAAACCCGAGGCUCAACCUCGGGCCUGCAGUGGGUACGGGCAGACUAGAGUGCGGUAAGGGAGAAUGGAAUUCCUGGUGUAGCGGUGGAAUGCGCAGAUAUCAGGAGGAACACCGAUGGCGAAGGCAGUUCUCUGGGCCGUAACUGACGCUGAGGAGCGAAAGCGUGGGGAGCGAACAGGAUUAGAUACCCUGGUAGUCCACGCCGUAAACGUUGGGCGCUAGAUGUGGGGCACCAUUCCACGGUUUCCGUGUCGCAGCUAACGCAUUAA
This 499-nucleotide ribosomal RNA is filed under the name uncultured bacterium. RNAcentral describes it as "partial 16S ribosomal RNA". It matches the Rfam family "Bacterial small subunit ribosomal RNA", at positions 355 to 863 of the family's 1533-position model. The record is from RNAcentral.